ACUCCUACGGGAGGCAGCAGUGGGGAAUUUUGCGCAAUGGGCGAAAGCCUGACGCAGCAACGCCGCGUGAGUGAUGAAGGCUUUCGGGUCGUAAAGCUCUGUCGAGGGGAAAGAAAUGUAUUGUGGUUAAUACCUGCGAUACUUGACGGUACCCCUAAGGAAGCACCGGCUAACUCCGUGCCAGCAGCCGCGGUAAUACGGGGGGUGCAAGCGUUGUUCGGAAUUAUUGGGCGUAAAGCGCGUGUAGGCGGUUUGUUAAGUCUGUUGUGAAAGCCCUGGGCUCAACCCAGGAAGUGCACUGGAAACUGGCAGACUUGAAUACGGGAGAGGGUAGUGGAAUUCCUGGUGUAGGAGUGAAAUCCGUAGAUAUCAGGAGGAACACCGGUGGCGAAGGCGGCUACCUGGACCGAUAUUGACGCUGAGACGCGAAAGCGUGGGUAGCAAACAGGAUUAGAUACCCUGGUAGUCCACGCCGUAAACGAUGAGUACUAGGUGUUGCGGGUAUUGACCCCUGCAGUGCCGCAGCUAACGCAUUAAGUACUCCGCCUGGGAAGUACGGUCGCAAGACUAAAACUCAAAUGAAUUGACGG
RNAcentral lists this ribosomal RNA (590 nucleotides) under uncultured Geobacter sp. Its description in RNAcentral is "bacterial SSU rRNA". It matches the Rfam family "Bacterial small subunit ribosomal RNA", at positions 335 to 916 of the family's 1533-position model. Lineage: Bacteria; Pseudomonadati; Thermodesulfobacteriota; Desulfuromonadia; Geobacterales; Geobacteraceae. The record is from RNAcentral.